CAAUACUUAGUGGCAGACGGGUGAGUAACAUGUAGGUAUCUGCCCUUUGGCCUGGAAUAACACGAGGAAACUUGUGCUAAUACCGGAUAAGUCUUAACGGAGAAAGCUUUAUGCACCAUUGGAUGAGCCUGCACUUGAUUAGUUUGCUGGUGGGGUAAUGGCCUACCAAGACUGUGAUCAAUAGCUGAUUUGAGAGGAUGAUCAGCCACAUUGGGACUGAGACACGGCCCAAACUCCUACGGGAGGCAGCAGUGGGGAAUCUUGCACAAUGGAGGAAACUCUGAUGCAGCGAUGCCGCGUGAGUGAAGAAGGCCCUUGGGUUGUAAAGCUCUUUCGUCGGGGAAGAAAAUGACUGUACCCGAAUAAGAAGGUCCGGCUAACUUCGUGCCAGCAGCCGCGGUAAUACGAAGGGACCUAGCGUAGUUCGGAAUUACUGGGCUUAAAGAGUUCGUAGGUGGUUGAAAAAGUUGGUGGUGAAAUCCCAGAGUUUAACUCUGGAACUGCCAUCAAAACUUUUCAGCUAGAGUAUGAUAGAGGAAAGUAGAAUUUCUAGUGUAGAGGUGAACUUCGUAGAUAUUAGAAAGAAUACCGAUUGCGAAGGCAGCUUUCUGGAUCAUUACUGACACUGAGGAACGAAAGCAUGGGUAGCGAAGAGGAUUAGAUACCCUCGUAGUCCAUGCCGUAAACGAUGUGUGUUAGACGUUGGGAAUUUAUUUUCAGUGUCGCAGCGAAAGCGAUAAACACACCGCCUGGGGAGUACGACCGCAAGGUUAAAAC
This 777-nucleotide ribosomal RNA is filed under the name uncultured marine bacterium. Its description in RNAcentral is "bacterial SSU rRNA". It matches the Rfam family "Bacterial small subunit ribosomal RNA", at positions 86 to 900 of the family's 1533-position model. The record is from RNAcentral.